UCUCUCUCUCUCUCUCUCUCUCUCUCUCUCUCUAUGUAUUGAAACCCUAAAAUUGAAUUACCCCUUUCGAAAAAGUCUGCAGUCUCUCUCUCUCUCUCUCUCCCUCAGUUCGUGGAUUCUAAUUAAGAUCAUUAGCGAUCGCGAGACUGGUAAGAUCCAUGGCGGGUUUGAUGGGUUUCUGAAUCAUGAACGAGGCUCCGUCAAGAGGAAGCGGCGGUGGUGAUCGUGCCGUUACAGAGGGCGUUUUUUUAUCGAAUUGAUUUGGGGUUUUAUAGUUUUGGUUGCUCCACCGUUUCGAUAGCUUUUAUGAUUUGAUCUUGACAGAUCGCGAAACUGGAAAGAUGAUUGGGGGUUUUUGAUUGGUGACUUUCUACAACGAUUAAUCCCAUGAGGGAUAUGCUAUCUGAAGAGAUAAACCUGAGAUAUUUAUGGCCGUUAGAGAGAGCGGUGACGAAGGUCAGUUGAUAACGAAGCUUCUGGGUUGAACUAUGCAGGAAGCGUAGAGUUGAAUCGAGUCUGAUCUGAACUUUGUCAAGUCAUCUCUCUCGAUGAACAACUUAAGAGUGCGAAGUUGGAUUCUGUUAACUGCAUUGGAGAGCAUGUGUUUCCACUUUUUUUUUUUGUUUUGUGUUUUCUAUGUGAUAUGAGUUGUAUCAAACUUGCUGAUCCAAAUGAUGAUGAAUAGUUUACAAGGCCCUCUUGGACUUUCCAACACUUAGCGAUGGCAAUGAAGCAAUCAAGAUAGGUCGUAUAUCUUGAAACCUCAAAAACCAGAGAACUCUGUAUGGGGUUGAAACCUCAGAAACCUCAUCCAUCCAUAUAUACACACACCACAUGACACAUGCAAGCAUUCAUAUAUACAUAUCUGCAUUCAUUCAUUCAUACACACACAUGACACAUGCAAGUAUUCAUAACAUACAUAUCUGCAUUCAUUCAUUCAUACAUACAUCCAUACGUAUACAUACAUACUUUCAUUCAUUCAUUCAUUCAUACAUACAUACAUUCAUACUUCAUUCAUUCAUACAUACAUAAAUACAUUACUUCCAUGCUUCUUUGAUUCUUUGUCUGAUUUCAUGCUUAAUUAUUUGGUAACUUGCUUGCUUUUAUGCUCACAAACUGUUUUCUUCCGAUAAAACAUGUAUGUUGUGUUAGACAGCUCUAUGUUAUUGUUCAAACCAUUACAGAUGGAGACCUUUGAGCGUCUGUCAAGGCAAAGUCCUAUCGUGAUUAAUGUCGCUACAACAAUGACCAUUCAUUGAUACCAGCCUCACCGAAUUUUACCGAAAAGAAAAGGAUAAAGUUCUAUGAUCAUUCUUCUCCUUCUUCAUUAGCUAAAUCUAGAGUUUUAUAUGUGCGAGAGUUAUACAAAGUGAUCUCGUUUGUAUCUAAAAUUUAUAUUGGUUGGUUUUUAUUGUUCAGGUUGGUUUUACUUGCAACCAGAUCUAAACCAAGAGCCUCAUGACUUCUCUUGCACAAGGUUGAAUUUCUUGUUUUUCCCCAGGAAUAUUAUUUUAUUUCAACUAACCAUAUAGACCAGCUUGAUUUAAGGUCAUAGCUACUAUACCAAAUCUGAUAAAGGUAUAAUUUUCUUAACUUGUCUUGAUUCAAUAUACAGUCAAACCAAUCAAACUAAGUUAGAAAAAAAGUUUAUUAGUUUGUGCAUUUCGUCUUAUCAUUGUUUUUAAAGAGCCUAUAAGCAGUGGCAAAAUUGUCUAGAAGAAAGAGUAAAAGAAGACUAUAAGCCAUCCAUGAACUCCCACUUCUUAAAGCACUUCAAUCCGCUGGUAAGAAAACAUGAGAGAUAAGUUCUACGGGCCGAAAAAUGAAGCAAGAAACAGACUUAGGCCAUUUGCAAUGGACCACAGAGACAUAAUUAUCGUACGUUGAUCUCUUCUCCCAAGUGUACUGCUCUAAUCCUUUUCAGUUGGAAAAAUAUGAAUCUGGAUCUGACAUAAAUAGAUUUUAGCACUCAAAAGUACAUAUCUAACUCAACUGACUUAGGUUCUCAUAAAAGUUUAUGAGUUCUUAUGUACUGACUAUCUUGGUUUCUAUAUUCCAGGGCUUGCCGAUUUUUUGGAUGUAUAUGAGGAUAACAAUAAUAAUAUAUGGAUGUGGAGUUGCAUGGACAUAGUGAGGCUUAUAUACACGUUUUGGCAAUAUGUGUUUAGAUCA
Camelina sativa (false flax) is the source of this 2172-nucleotide non-coding RNA. Lineage: Eukaryota; Viridiplantae; Streptophyta; Magnoliopsida; Brassicales; Brassicaceae. The record is from RefSeq and is a predicted model, not a curated record.